This 44-nucleotide non-coding RNA is filed under the name Schistosoma haematobium. Lineage: Eukaryota; Metazoa; Platyhelminthes; Trematoda; Strigeidida; Schistosomatidae. The record is from RNAcentral.
AGCAACUGACGAGUCCCAAAUGGGAUGAAACGCGUGUUCUAGAU